UGGGGAAUCUUGCACAAUGGGGGAAACCCUGAUGCAGCGACGCCGCGUGAACGAUGAAGCCCUUCGGGGUGUAAAGUUCUUUCGACAGGAACGAUAAUGACGGUACCUGGAGAAGAAGCUGCGGCUAACUACGUGCCAGCAGCCGCGGUAAUACGUAGGCAGCGAGCGUUGUUCGGAGUUACUGGGCGUAAAGAGUGCGUAGGCGGCGAGCCAAGUUUGGUGUGAAAUCUCCCGGCUUAACCGGGAGGGUGCGCCGAAGACUGGUUGGCUGGAGUAUGGGAGAGGAAAGCGGAAUUCCUGGUGUAGCGGUGAAAUGCGUAGAUAUCAGGAGGAACACCUGCGGUGUAGACAGCUUUCUGGACCAAAACUGACGCUGAGGCACGAAAGCGUGGGUAGCAAACA
RNAcentral lists this ribosomal RNA (402 nucleotides) under uncultured bacterium. RNAcentral's name for it is "bacterial SSU rRNA". It matches the Rfam family "Bacterial small subunit ribosomal RNA", at positions 355 to 774 of the family's 1533-position model. The record is from RNAcentral.